Long non-coding RNA from Dreissena polymorpha, 1505 nucleotides. RefSeq lists it as uncharacterized. The record is from RefSeq and is a predicted model, not a curated record. NCBI's taxonomy places the organism in Eukaryota, Metazoa, Mollusca, Bivalvia, Myida, Dreissenidae. The transcript has 4 exons.
CAACAACAACAACAACAAAUAUGGCGGAAUCUGUAUUGUCAAACAUGGAAGAGAAGGAUACAACCAUAAUUAAACCAAGAAGUUUAUGAAGAAGGGAUCACUGGAUUUUGUCACUUUGGUACAAGAAACAGAAAAGGAUAUCAUAGACCACCUUACUUAUACGGAAGCAUAGGAGCUGUUGAAGGAAAUUGCUGCCAGACAGUCAACAGUUAUCACUGACAGCCUGUCCUGGCCCAGCUGGGACCAUCCUCAAGCUAACCAUGAUGAUGUGUUUGCAAGAAUUGUCCAUUUGGUAGAACAUGAUGAAGACGAGCUUUGUUGUGGCAUGGCCUGACAAUACUGUACAAGCCAGAGACCAAAAAAGGGUUAAAAGUGGUGACUGAUCCUCUCACCCUCCUUAUCCAGGAAACGUUUCGGAACAACGUGUUGGCACUGAAGAUGUGGAGGACACAGAUUGAUCACAGUACAUCCUUUGGAUACAUGAACACCUUUAACGGGACGACAACAAAACUGUACCUGCCUUUUUUUUGAAAGGAAGUAGUUAAUAAAAUUAUUGUUAACAGCUUUUUUAGUCUUGUUGUUUAAGAAUGCUUGCAACAUUUAAGUGGAUAAACGGUUGUUUUAAAUUUGAAGCUUCAGUAAUGCAUUCUUUAUUAAAUGAUGUAAUCUUAUUUCUUUCAAUAUAGUGUAAAUAAUAAGAACAUAAUUAUCCUUUGUAUACAAAAUGAAAACCAAGUUUACUGUUCUAUUAAUCAUUAUUUAUUUAUCUUGUUCUUUUGUCAGAAAUAUUACAGGGGCAUACAUACAGUAUUCCUUAAAUAAAAGGGGCAGUUCUUAGAAAAUUAACAUGUAUUUCAGCAAUGCAUAUUCAAACUUUUUCCACAUUUAUAACCAGCAACAAUAUGUAAGUAUUAUAAUGUAACACAAAUUAAUACUAUGAAUUUACUACUGAUUUUGCCGUGCCUGUCAUCAAAUAAACAUGUUUUACUGAACGUUUCUUAAAAGAUGUUAUGUGGACGACUUAAUCAAUCAUUUAAUAAAUAUUUGAGCCUCGCUCUUGGAAAAGGGGGUUUAAUGCAUGUACUUAAGGUUGUCCAAGAUUAGGCUGUGCAGACUGCACAGGCUAAUCAGGGGCAACACUUUCCGCCUUAUCUGGAUUUUCUCUCCCUUUCAACAAAAAAUACAAUAAAGCAGCAAUUGUCUGCCUGAUUGGUAUGAUCAGCACAUGUUAAUCUCGUACGACAAUUUACGCACAUGCAUUAAGCCCCAUUUUCCCAGGGCAAGGCUCACCUAUUUAGGUUUUAGCUGUCUAUAUGCUCUUUAACUUUUGAAUCAUGAUGCAGUUUCAUAUAAUAAUGUAUUAUGAGUCGUUUUUAAUUGAUGCAUAUUCUUUUGUUCAGUGUUGAACUCAACAUGUAUUAUAAUAAGGUGUUCACUUAACAUUCUUGCAGUAAUGUUUUGCUGUGUAAUAUACAUGUAAUAAUAAAUCAAAAUUGAACAAACUA